Molecule: ribosomal RNA, 253 nt
Filed under: uncultured bacterium
Lineage: Bacteria
Description: partial 16S ribosomal RNA
Rfam family: Bacterial small subunit ribosomal RNA
Source: RNAcentral
UACGAAGGGGGCUAGCGUUGCUCGGAAUCACUGGGCGUAAAGCGCACGUAGGCGGCUUUUUAAGUCAGGGGUGAAAUCCUGGAGCUCAACUCCAGAACUGCCUUUGAUACUGAGAAGCUUGAGUCCGGGAGAGGUGAGUGGAACUGCGAGUGUAGAGGUGAAAUUCGUAGAUAUUCGCAAGAACACCAGAGGCGAAGGCGGCUCACUGGCCCGGUACUGACGCUGAGGUGCGAAAGCGUGGGGAGCAAACAGG